CUCUCUCUCUCUCUCUCCUCUUUUCCAUUUACUCAUAUAGCAUUUUUUAGCGGAGAACUUCAUUAACCAGACUGAAGUAUGCAUAACGUCCUUACAAAUAAAACUAGCAAUAGAUGAAGGCACCUCCUCCUUGAGAAAAACAGAAUCAAGAAUAUAAAGGUCCCACAUUGAGUUAGAUGAUAAGCAACUCCGUUGCACUCCCGAUUUGCAAAUCUGAAGACGCUAAAGUAAUGGCAAAGGAUUAAACCCGUAGAACUAAGCAAAAAACAAAAAAAAAAGUGGGGCCAAGUUAUCAGAGUAGGUUAUAUUUCGGAAUCCGAAAAAGUCAUAAUGGGUAGUGCUGCAAUAAGUCAGAACAAGGUGAAUUAAUGACCUAGUAAAAAAAACUCCAUAAUGCCAAGUAAAAAAAAAGGAGGCUUGAGUUAGACCAGGAUGAUCCAUGACCUCGUAAAGACAACUAGACAUGUAGAGCCAAGUACAAAGAAAAAAAAAAGUUAGGUUGGUAUAAGUGACUACUAGACUUAUAAACUUAAGUCUAGUUCAAUUGCACAUGAUAAGAGAGUCUUGAAUGUCCCACAAGAGAAACGAAUAAGGAAGAAAAAGAGAAUAUACAACAUGGCAGACAUUGCCUUUGCUGAUAGUCAUCCACACUAUUUGGAUUAGAGAAUUUCACGGUAAUGUUUCAACCAUUUCAGGGGUAAAUUGCCUGUCAAUGUGACGACCUACAGAAGUAAUAACUAACCCCUCACAGUCUCGAUUUAAUCACCAGACCAAUUCCAACAAAACCAUUAGAUUCCCUACAAGUUGCAUCAGUAAUAAUCUUGUACAAGCCGUCCUUUUGUGGUUGCCAUGUCGCAUGAACUGAAGCAUGAUUAGAAGAGUUUUUUGGAUUAGCAGCAGCAGCGAUUCUCAAUGUUCUUGUCAUUUAUUAACUUUUAGCAGCAAAAUUGACUUUACUGCUAAUUCUAUUAUUUCUUAUAGUGAUAACAA
RNAcentral lists this unclassified non-coding RNA (990 nucleotides) under Hevea brasiliensis (rubber tree). The record is from RNAcentral. Lineage: Eukaryota; Viridiplantae; Streptophyta; Magnoliopsida; Malpighiales; Euphorbiaceae.